Anneissia japonica is the source of this 192-nucleotide small nuclear RNA. RefSeq annotates it as U2 spliceosomal RNA. The transcript has a single exon. The record is from RefSeq and is a predicted model, not a curated record. Lineage: Eukaryota; Metazoa; Echinodermata; Crinoidea; Comatulida; Comatulidae.
AUCGCUUCUCGGCCUUUUGGCUAAGAUCAAGUGUAUAAUAUCUGUUUUUUCAGCUUAAUAUCUGAAAUGCUACUCAUUGAUUAGCUUCGAAUAUUAAACCAAUUUUUUAACUCACGCUCUGGAAUAGGAGCUUGCUCUCUCGUGGCCACGGAUUGACCUGAUAUUACAGUAUUCAAGACCAACCCAUCCUCU